This 28-nucleotide small RNA is filed under the name Bombyx mori (domestic silkworm). RNAcentral's name for it is "ovarian small RNA-29322". The record is from RNAcentral. Lineage: Eukaryota; Metazoa; Arthropoda; Insecta; Lepidoptera; Bombycidae.
UCGUGUCCACGAGGAGUUGAUGGCAUUU